CUUUUAACUUUCUACUUUGGCAACUAGUUACCACGUUACUUCACUUAUAGGGAUUCGUAUAUAUUCCUUAUCAGAUCAUUAUCUAGCAUAUUGAAGUCCUAAUCUUCUGAACUCCUUCAAGUGGUGCUACAUUGAGUAAUUUUUUUCUACAUGCUCAACGGACUUAUAUGGAGGAUCAAUUGGUGUAGUAACUGAUUACUAAAAGCAUCUACAUCAGAUUGUUUGAGCUCGGAUGCAAGAUUUUGGACGAAACGACGUUUGAUUUUGUACGAGCAUGAGCCGCAAGAAAGGUACAGACGCCGGUGAUCCACCACUGUAGGCUCCACGUCCUGCUAUUACAGAGUGCUCAUUUUGAUUCGGAGCCCAUAUAUCGGCAGAUAUCUUUUGGGAUGUGUAUGUAUCUGUAUAUUUGACUAUUUGGGGUACGGCGGGGCCCUGUCCCGUCAUAUGUUUUCGUUUUGUAUAUGUAGAGGCCUGUAGUCAUAUAUGUGGGUCGAGGGUCCUAUAUGUGUCUGUUUGAUUACGAUUUGUGUCUUAAUGCGGUCCGUCUGUUAUGGUGGCCAAAAUGGCCCUUAUGUUUAUAUUUGUACACAUGAUCGGCGAUGUGCAUUCCGCCGCUUCUAUCUGUUCCGUUAUGAUAUUUUGGUAUGCACGACCGCUUAAGACAAGUUUUGAUUUAAAUUAUGUUUAAAAUAACUAUUGUGAACUCUGAGCUAAGUUGGAUAUGAUAAUUGGAUAUGUAAGUCUGUCUGGGUGCCCAAGUAGGGUGCCAGUCAUGGCCCACGGGGCUGGGUCGUGACAAAAGUGGUAUCAGAGCGGUUUGUCCUCGGAAUGUCUACAGGCCGUGUCUCGUAGAGUCUUGUUUAUCGGUGUGUUGUGCACCACAUCUAUAAACAGGAGGCUACAGGGCAUUUAGGGUGUUACUUUUCUUUGGAUCUUUGAUCGUGCGAUAGAGCCAACUGUAGGAAAUGAAUUCCUUUUUCUUACUAACCCUUGAUUGCAGCUGGAGAACGGUAUCGACGUAAGACAGCGAUUGAUAAUAUUGGAAGCUACACAAUACAGAGGUAAGUAAUGAUAUGAAAGAUGUAUGCUGGGUAAGGUGUUUGAAAUACGAUUGAAACAUAAAGCUGAAGGUUGAAAGGAAAAAUAAACAGGAAAGUGUAGCAGGUGUAGUUGAAUUGGGCAUGUGAGGUAAGCCUCGAUAUUUGUGUACUUCUAUUUUUAAUUGUUAGCCCCGUGUGGCUAUGAUGCGACAUGAUGUGAUAUGUAUAUACGUAUAUGUGUUGGCCCUGUGAGGCAUGGUUGGUAUUUCCUGUGUACAGGUUUUGGGAUAGUAAGAAAUACAGAGGAACCUCUGCCCAAAUUUUUCUAGAGAUAUGAAAAGAAAAAUGAGAUAUACAUUCUUAACAUAUCUUAAAGGUCGAUACCGAUAGGAUAAAUCUAUGAGGCUGGAUUAAAAGUUUCAGAGGUACCCUCCAUGUCAUUUGUAUGAAGCAUCACCCUUAUCGGAAAA
Lycium barbarum (goji berry) is the source of this 1513-nucleotide long non-coding RNA. RefSeq lists it as uncharacterized. NCBI's taxonomy places the organism in Eukaryota, Viridiplantae, Streptophyta, Magnoliopsida, Solanales, Solanaceae. The transcript is spliced from 4 exons. The record is from RefSeq and is a predicted model, not a curated record.